RNAcentral lists this ribosomal RNA (449 nucleotides) under uncultured bacterium. RNAcentral's name for it is "partial 16S ribosomal RNA". It matches the Rfam family "Bacterial small subunit ribosomal RNA", at positions 29 to 523 of the family's 1533-position model. The record is from RNAcentral.
AACGAACGCUGGCGGCAUGCCUAACACAUGCAAGUCGAACGAGAUCUUCGGGUCUAGUGGCGCACGGGUGCGUAACGCGUGGGAAUCUGCCCUUUGGUUCGGAAUAACAGUUGGAAACGACUGCUAAUACCGGAUGAUGACGAAAGUCCAAAGAUUUAUCGCCAGAGGAUGAGCCCGCGUAGGAUUAGCUAGUUGGUGUGGUAAAGGCGCACCAAGGCGACGAUCCUUAGCUGGUCUGAGAGGAUGAUCAGCCACACUGGGACUGAGACACGGCCCAGACUCCUACGGGAGGCAGCAGUGGGGAAUAUUGGACAAUGGGCGAAAGCCUGAUCCAGCAAUGCCGCGUGAGUGAUGAAGGCCUUAGGGUUGUAAAGCUCUUUUACCAGGGAUGAUAAUGACAGUACCUGGAGAAUAAGCUCCGGCUAACUCCGUGCCAGCCGCCGCAGUAA